UACGGGGAGCAGCAGGCGCGAAACCUUUCCAAUGCACGCAAGUGUGAGAAGGGGAUCCCAAGUGCUCAACAAUGUUGGGCUUUUGCCAUGUGUAAAUAGCUUGGCGAAUAAGGGGUGGGUAAGACUGGUGCCAGCAGCGCGGUAA
Molecule: ribosomal RNA, 145 nt
Filed under: uncultured archaeon
Lineage: Archaea
Description: partial 16S ribosomal RNA
Rfam family: Archaeal small subunit ribosomal RNA
Source: RNAcentral